Molecule: ribosomal RNA, 664 nt
Filed under: uncultured phototrophic eukaryote
Lineage: Eukaryota
Description: bacterial SSU rRNA
Rfam family: Bacterial small subunit ribosomal RNA
Source: RNAcentral
CGGACGGGUGAGUAACGCGUGAGAACCUGCCCUUGGGAGGGGGACAACAGCUGGAAACGGUUGCUAAUACCCCAUAGGCUGAGGAGCGAAAGGAGGAAUCCGCCUAAGGAGGGGCUUGCGUCUGAUUAGCUAGUUGGUGAGGCAAUGGCUUACCAAGGCGACGAUCAGUAGCUGGUCUGAGAGGAUGAUCAGCCACACUGGGACUGAGACACGGCCCAGACUCCUACGGGAGGCAGCAGUGGGGAAUUUUCCGCAAUGGGCGAAAGCCUGACGGAGCAAUACCGCGUGAGGGAGGAAGGCUCUUGGGUUGUAAACCUCUUUUCUCAGGGAAGAAAAAAUGACGGUACCUGAGGAAUCAGCAUCGGCUAACUCCGUGCCAGCAGCCGCGGUAAUACGGAGGAUGCAAGCGUUAUCCGGAAUUAUUGGGCGUAAAGCGUCUGUAGGUGGAGAUUCAAGUCUGCUGUCAAAGACCGGGGCUUAACCCUGGAAAGGCGGUGGAAACUGAGUAUCUAGAGUGCGGUAGGGGCAGAGGGAAUUCCCAGUGUAGCGGUGAAAUGCGUAGAGAUUGGGAAGAACACCAGUGGCGAAAGCGCUCUGCUGGGCCUGCACUGACACUAAGGGACGAAAGCUAGGGGAGCGAAUGGGAUUAGAUACCCCAGUAGUC